RNAcentral lists this ribosomal RNA (478 nucleotides) under uncultured bacterium. RNAcentral's name for it is "partial 16S ribosomal RNA". It matches the Rfam family "Bacterial small subunit ribosomal RNA", at positions 28 to 523 of the family's 1533-position model. The record is from RNAcentral.
GACGAACGCUGGCGGCGUGCUUAACACAUGCAAGUCGAACGGUAAGGCCCUUCGGGGUACACGAGUGGCGAACGGGUGAGUAACACGUGGGUGAUCUGCCCUGCACUUCGGGAUAAGCCUGGGAAACUGGGUCUAAUACCGGAUAGGACCACUGCCUGCAUGGGUGGUGGUGGAAAGCCUUUGCGGUGUGGGAUGGGCCCGCGGCCUAUCAGCUUGUUGGUGGGGUAAUGGCCUACCAAGGCGACGACGGGUAGCCGGCCUGAGAGGGUGACCGGUCACACUGGGACUGAGAUACGGCCCAGACUCCUACGGGAGGCAGCAGUGGGGAAUAUUGCACAAUGGGCGCAAGCCUGAUGCAGCGACGCCGCGUGAGGGAUGACGGCCUUCGGGUUGUAAACCUCUUUCAGCUAUGACGAAGCGCAAGUGACGGCAGUAGCAGAAGAAGGACCGGCCAACUACGUGCCAGCCGCCGCAGUAA